This 275-nucleotide ribosomal RNA is filed under the name unidentified marine bacterioplankton. Its description in RNAcentral is "partial 16S ribosomal RNA". It matches the Rfam family "Bacterial small subunit ribosomal RNA", at positions 62 to 339 of the family's 1533-position model. The record is from RNAcentral.
UCGAACGAUGAUGGGGAGCUUGCUCCCUGGAUUAGUGGCGAACGGGUGAGUAACACGUGAGCAACCUGCCCCUAACUCUGGGAUAACGCUUCGAAAGGAGUGCUAAUACCGGAUACCAGCUAGGAGGACAUCCUCUUGGCUUGAAAGUUUUCGGUUAGGGAUGGACUCGCGGCCUAUCAGCUAGUUGGUGAGGUAAAAGCUCACCAAGGCGACGACGGGUAUCCGGCCUGAGAGGGCGACCGGACACACUGGGACUGAGACACGGCCCAGACUCC